This 67-nucleotide microRNA precursor is filed under the name anatid alphaherpesvirus 1. RNAcentral describes it as "Anatid alphaherpesvirus 1 microRNA dev-mir-D5 precursor". Its record names the gene dev-mir-D5. Lineage: Duplodnaviria; Heunggongvirae; Peploviricota; Herviviricetes; Herpesvirales; Orthoherpesviridae. The record is from miRBase by way of RNAcentral.
CGACAUGUCAUCUGCGACGUCCUGCUCGUUGUUAUCAUUCGCGUAGGCGGCGCAGGUGAAUAGGUCG